GCCAAAACAUCUGGGGGGACACAGGUUGAGAAUCACUGCACUAAAGUUUGGGAAGGUCAUCUAAAGGAGGACUUCCUUAAUGUUUUCCAUUUAUGACCUCUUUGCUCCUGAUAAUUUUUUUACGCAAUCCCAGGUUUAUAGGUAUAUUAAAAAGAUAUAAAAAUGAAACAUCUCUGCAGAAGAUGCUUCAGCUAUACUCCAUGAAAAGGAAAAGCAGUCUGCUUAGCAAGCCUUCCAAAUGCCGAUGUAUUAUCAGUAAAUGUUUGAUUUCAUACCUCUUUUAUAUAUUCUUGGGCAAAAAAGGAUUUCAAGUUGAAAAGGUUUUAAGAAGCUCUGAGCUAGAUCACAUGUAUCAAACUCAAGGUCCAUGAGCUUAAUCUGGCCUGCCAUGUCACUUUAUGUGGCCCUCCAGAUGCCAGACCACAAGUCCUGUACUCCUCAUCAUUAGACAUCAUGACUAGAGCUGAUGGGAGUUAUGGUACAGUAACACCUGGAAGGGUACAGUUUGUUUUGUGUAGUCAGGGCAGUGGGGUUUGAAUUUAAAUACAAGGCUCGUGGAUAAGAUCUGGAGACCAUGCCCUAGGAGGAGCAUCUUAAAUAACUGGGUAUGUUUAGCCUGCAGAAGAGAAGGUUGAGAGGAGACAUGAUAGCCUUGUAUAAAUAUGUGAAAGGGAGUCAUCAAGAAGAGGGAGCAGGUUUGUUUUCUGCUGCCCUUGAAACUAGGACUCAGAGCAAUGGGUUCAAAUUGCAGGAAAGGAGAUUCCACCUGAACAUUAGGAAGAAUUUCCUGGCUGUAGGAGCUGUUCAGCAAUGGAACUCUUUGACUCGGAGUGUGGUGGAAGCUCCUUCCAUGGAAACUUUUAAACAGAGCCUGGAUGGCUAUCUGUCAAGGAUACUUUGUGCUUUUCUUGCAUGGUAGGGGGUUGGACUAGAUGGCCCAUGUGGUCUCUUCUAACUUUAUUCCAUGAUAUGAUGUCUGCAUUAAAAAUAUCCUUCAACCUUUUUAUAGAACUACAUUUAACUAUAUGUGUUUACAAAAUUUUAGCAAUGUUUGUGUGUUUGGACUGCUGUGACCUGCCUUGAGCCACGAGGAGAGGCGAGGAAGAAAUACGAUUAUCAUUAUCAUUAAUUAAUAACAUUAACCUUUCACCCACAGAGACGCAAGUGCUGUUAGGUUGUAAUUCUCAUUAUCCCCAGGCUGCAUAGUGCAUAAUCAAAAAUUAUGGGAGUUGUCAUUCAAUAACAUCUGAGGAUUCAAACUGGGGGGAAACUAAAAAGCACCGACAACUAUGUUAAAAAGAUUACAGUCGACCUUUUGUAUCCACAGAUUCUCCAUCCACAGAUUCAAUGGCCCUUUGAAGACAACCAUAAGGCUGGUGUGGUUCUUGGUGAAAAUUAAUUAUACACUACUGAGCUAGAUGUUUGGCAGUGGGGAGCUUUUUUCCCCUGUGUCAGGAUAAACUGCAAGUCGCUUCUGGUGUGAGAGAAUUGGCCGUCUGCAAGGACGUUGCCCAGGGGGCACCCGGAUGUUUUGAUGUUUUUACCAUCCUUGUGGGGGGACUUCUCUCAUGUCCCCACAUGGAGCUGGAACUGAUAGACGGAGCUCAUCCGCGCUCUCCCAGGAAUGGAUUCGAACCAGCACCCUUCAGGUCAGCAACCUGACAGUCCUUCAAGUCAGCAGUCCUGUCGGUACAAGAAUUUAACCCACUGCGCCACCGGGGGCUCUGCAGGGGAGCUGCCAUAGUUAUUGCCUUCCAAGAUUGAAAGAGGUUGUGAGUGGAAAAAUUUAGAUCAAUUUAGAUCAACCUUUUGUCCUCCAAAAGUCUGAGGUUGCAGGUCACAGAAUUCCUGUAGGCUGGCAAUAUUGGCUGAAACUCCUGGCCAUCAAGGUCCAAACCACAGGGACCUAGGUGGCUAUCAAGUGAUGUAGGUUUCUGAUAUUCUGCAGUGUUGUAUAAAUUGACUCAUUUAUUUGAGCCAUCUACAUCUACAAUACCAGUUGUAUGCUGCAUUUAUGACAUAAUACCUAGGUGAUGGCGUAUGUCCACAGGGGUCUGUUGGGUAGUGUGCACCCAUGGCAACACCAUUGUCUUCCAUCCAUCCCAGCUGAGCAAAUUAUUGCAGUCCUUUCCUUGAAAGGGGAUGUAUCAGACCCUGGAGUCAGCAACUCGACUCCUGUGCAAUAGCACCUCCUGGUGUGCAUAUCUGGAGAAGCAGCAGGGAGAGAAAGAACAGUGUAGGGAAGAAGAUAAACUGUGUGAGCAAAGCCCAUUCUUCAUGGGCUUGGGCUUGAUUGUUUUAAUAGUAAACCUCCUGACUGGUCCUGAGAAGAAGGAAGAAGACAUAUUUUGAACAAUAUCUCACACAAGCCGACUUCAUUGUGCUCCUUUCAGAGUGAAGCCUACCAUUGAGAGACAGCAAGGCUCUGUUCUUUGAGAGUGAAACUAUCCCAAUUUUGUGCCUGGAAAACCUUAGACCACAAGACUGGGCAAACAUAAAGAAAGAGCCUUAUUUGAAUCAUGGCUGCUCCUCAGCAAGGAAUAAAAGAUGACAUGGGCCUUUGCAAUCCAUCUGAAGCCCCACCAUCCUUGUUAACCGGCUGUUUGAGAGAAGAACUUGAAUGAUAGCAUUGCGCUCAGUCAUGAGCAAAACUUAGUGGCAGAUGGGGGAGGAAGGUGAAAGGAUGAAGAGGAAGAAGAAGCAUGCUGCAGACGGCCUCUCUGUUUUUCUGAAUGCACAUAAUGGAUUGAAGAAGAAGAGAAGAUGUAUAGAAGCAGCCUAAAGAUGCUGCUAUUCUCUUUCCGCUUGCCACCCCACACACCCCUCUUAUGGACCCCAUCGGAGACACCAAGCGGACGGAUCAACAUGCAAUUAAAAAUCUCCGUUUGAUCCCUCAGGGAGUGGAAUUUGCUGCAGCCAAGGCAGCCUGGCUCUCUCUACCAGAAUCUUGCCCAGGUGCAAGCACUACCCUGGUGCACCUGCUGCUGCCUCAAUCGCCCUGCCACACAUGCCCAUGGGAGGGGAAAUUGGUGUGUGUUUGUGUUUUGAGGUGGGGGAGAGGAGGUAACAAAAACCACACAAAGUACAAGAGAAACACCAUCUGUGCUGGGAGGGAUGAGCAAAGCUCACGACAUUCCCUCAAAAAAUAGUCUGGAGCCGUGAUUUGGCCACGCGGGAAGAGGGAGAGACAGACCAAACGUAUGAAAAGAGGUAAGAGAGGAACCUUUGGCAGUCGCGAAUCAGUGAAUUAUUAAGAUCAAAUUAGUUCCAUUUAUCAACUCGCCCAGCUGAGAUGCUGCUCGCAAGCGGUGCUUGUCCCUGGCCGAGCCUCCUCACCGCAUCUGUGGCUGGUUGUGGUUUAAUACAGAUGCCAAACUCGUAAUUCUAACGAAGGGUGACAGGGUCACCUUGAAUCCCAGAUGCUCACAUUCUGACAGAUGGCGCUGGCAAACCUGAUUAGCUGCCACCGUGCCAGCUCCAAUGCCACCUGCAUCCCUCCCUAGCUUCACCAUCUCCCAUUCCCCUUCCAUUACAAUACUCAUACCCCACUCUGGUUUUUUGCUUCCCCCAAAGUAGUAAUUAUCCAGCCACUUCAGAGGCAGGACAGAGAGCAAGGGAGAGGCUCAGUCAUGGAGGACUUCCAAGGCCACAGGCGGGAACUGGUGGGAGAAACUAAGAAGAAAGCCAGGACAAACAGGACUGAAAGCGGGGACUACUGCUCAUGUAGGAUAUUGAAGACAGGCAUUCCUCUUUGUUGUGUGUGUGCAUGCAAGAUAUUGAAAGGGUCUAGAUUAGAUAGACAGACAGAACCCAAUCAGUAGAUUUAAAAGCUUUUGCAGAGAACUGGAAAGAAUAAUCACCUAGCUGAGUUCUAUAUAGAGUCCCAUAAAAUGUGUCCUAUGUCUUUAAUACAAGCAAAGCAAAAAAACAGCAUUCUGCACAUUAAAUUACUAUACCUUUAAAUUUUUGCCAAAAUCUAGAUAUAGUAUUCCCUUUGCAUGGUACAUAAAAAGAUAUCAAGAAAGCAGAGCAAUAAUAUUUAAACAAGUUCCCUAUUUACACAAUUAUGAAGACGACUUCUUGAAAAAUGUACUGUUUUCAACACAAGAACACAAGAACAAGACAGUUCUCAUUUGUAAAAUGUUAAGGGCUUUUCCAGUUAGGUCAAAUGUGCCAGGAGACUGUGGUAUUUGUCACUAUAGUUCUCUCAUUCAUUCAUAUAUCUAUACACAUACACAUACACACACACACACACACACACACACACACAUAUAUACAUACACACAUACAUACACACAUAUACAUACAUACAUACAUACAUGGACAAUUUUCUGGCAAUUUCUGGCACCCACUGUAUUAUUUUACCUCUAUCAUCUAGCAUGUUAUAUAUAUUGGAAGGGGAAAAUACUUUUCUCUUCUCUUUCUUCUCUCUUUUAAAAAAAUCUUGGACCAGGAGCAUUAUCAUACCACAAUUCAAAGAAGCAGAAAAAGAAAAUUAUGUUUGUGGUAUAAACUCUGGAGGAAGCCUUGUAAUAGGGGUGAAUAUAGUGUAGGAAAUAGCUUGUGAUGAGGGACUUCAGUAAGUUCAAAUAUUGUACUACAUGUAAAUUUUCAGUUUCUUCAAGAUAUUUGAAAAGUUACAAUUUCUACAUAUGCUAUACAAACAUACAAUAGCAACAAUAGUAACAACAAAACAGACAGAAAUACUUUGUAAUUCCUGAUGAAUGAGAAGCUAAACAAAAUAUACAACUCACAGUUCAUUAACUUACCCAUAAAUAAAUUUAUAAAUUUUAGCCAAAACCCCCCCAAAACCCAACCGCAAAAAGCUGGGCCAAUUUUACUAUCCAUGGAUCAAUGUACUAUACCUUCUAGCACCUAAAAGAAGCACCAGCACCUCUACGCUUUCCAUUGUGGUGCCUUUUUAAAUAGCUGUGACUGUGCAAUACAGGAUCAAACAGUAACUCAACUUUUAUGCAGGUGGCUUUGAAGACACACACAAAACUUCCUACUAGGAGUUGUCACUAAGUGAACACUAUAAUAAAAUAACUGUGACUGCACACCUGCAAGUGUGCCACUUUAUUCAGGCAAUAUUGAUGCUUUCCCCUCAACUUGUUCAUGAGUCAUAAUACAAUCCAUAAUUUAGGCUGCAAAAUCUGUCCUCAACUUAUUCUUGAUGUUUACUUAUACAUGCGUAUAGGCAUUAAGCAAAAAUACUUUAGUUGGCAAAAAUCUCAAAAACUUAAAUGCUGUAUUCUAUUCAACGAAGAAAAAUAAUAGAGUUUACUAAUCAAACAGAAAGAUAUACUAACUUAAUCUUAGAUGUGUUUUGUAUGUACCGUAAACAACAAUUUGGCUUUUACAGAAUGUUACACCUUUUAAUUGAUGAAGGUUCUUUUCUGGGAGCCAGAACUGUGUUCCACAGGAAACUUUAAAAUAUUCAAAAUGUUAUAUGGUCUAUUUCUGGUAUUUCUAAAUAUUCUGAAACCGAGGGGAAACUGUGGCCCUCCUGAGGUUUCUCCCCACAACGUCCAUCAGUCUUUGCAACUGGAGCCAUCAUCAGUGGUAAGAGACCAUGGAAGCUGCUGUCUGAAAAUGUCUAAAGGACCACUGUGGUCCACUUCUGCUCUAAAACAACUUGCAGUAUAGGGACUAGUGAUAAUAAAGUCUACCUAUUAUAUCCAUAAUGCAAUGUCCUAUUUAAUUGCACAUCCCCUGUGUUUGAUUUAAACACAUACAGAUUUGUAUACAUCAUUCAUGAGUCUCAAGGAAUCCAAAUGAAUUAACAAAACAAAUCUGAAACACUACUCACUUAAUUCAGUCUUUCCGGCUUUCCCUUGCUUUAUCAGGACAGGCUAAAUCUCUAUUUGGUCCAUGCUCAUUUGCUCAAGUUAUACAAAAAAAAGUCCCAGACUUUUAAAAAAAACAACAACACACACACACACACACACACACACACCCAUCUUACACUUUUCCAGUGAUCCCUGAAACUCAGCAAAUGUAUUAGGAGGUUCCAGUAUAUGACAUUUCCCAGACAAUUGGAUGACAAUUGUUUCCCACCCCUGAUUAGUUUCUUUUUAGUUCUGAGACGCAUCUGGAAAAUAUGUACUUUUCUAUUUUCAUGUUUUUCACAAUUUUAAUGGUUUAGUGCAUUAGUGAAAUAGUACUUUUGCACUAUAACUAUGACUAGAUCUUUCUUUAAUUCAGAGUUGAAAUUAUAUUUUUCCCACAAAUAAUAAAACCUUGGAAGAACUCUAGAACAAGCCCAAUAAACCAACACAAAAAAGUCCUCCAAAGAGAACAGAAAGGUAACAACAACCAGCAAAAUGUCUAGAGUCAAAUUGUGAGAACUUACACUGUUUUAGACCAAUCUGGAAAAGUUCCCAAGACCUUCAGAGUAUUCCAUUUUUAAAGUUAAUAAACAUCAAUGCUGAGCAUGCAAUAUGAUUUCUGUAUUCUAUUGAAUGUAGGCAAGGACAGUGUAGGUAAGGAAACUUUUAAGUCCCAGCAUAAUUUUGAGGAUAGAACUGCUGUUCCCAUAUACGUAAACAGAUAUUUAGACUAUGCCUAAAUACCCUAAGGGCAUCAGAACAUGACUGAUCUUGGAUGUAAAGAGGGGUUGACACCAAGAAGACCACCAAGAAAUACUAGAUGACCGCCACGGAAUACUAAGCACUGUAGGUUAUAUUUCAGAGGACAAAUCUGGCAAACCAUCUUGAAUAUUCCUUAGCUGCUAAAAAUUCACGGAGUCAGCAUAAGGUGGCAGGUGACAUGAAUGCACAGCCCACAUACAAGAGACACAUUGAAAGUAACGCAAUAAUAGCAAUAUAUUUAUUAUCAGAAUAAUUUCUGGAAAUCAUCCAGAAGGCCAUGAGACUGAAAGGUGACGUGCAGAAUCUACAUGGAAUUGAAACUUUAAAACUGCCCAGAUAUGUAGAUCUUUACAGUGGCUAAGCACAUCGAUGUGAUCAUAUGCUUUUGCCUUUGUUGAUCUCUGCAUUUUAAGGGACCUCAUUACAUGAAAGUCCUGAACUGAUGCUGAAGUGUAGAAAAAUGCGGAAACUGCUCCAAAAGCCUGGCAUUGCCAUUCAAGAUAUCACCAUUUUGUCUUUCUUGUCAUUUCUCCUUCAUUGUAAUUAUGGCUUCAGAAGUUGCACCACUGCUAGCUUUUUAACUUUGUUAAAAUGGCGCUCCAUGCAGUCAUGCCGGCCACAUGACCUUGGAGGUGUCUAUGGACAACACCGGCUCUUCGGCUUAGAAAUGGAGAUGAGCACCAACCCCCAGGGUCGGUCACGACUGGACUUAACAUCAGGGGAAAACCUUUACCUUACCUUUUCACAGUAGGUUCUAGUGCCUAGAAGUUUUUGGACUUCCAUAAUUGAGAGUAAGGAGAUUGGGAAGGAAAGGAGUCCAAAAAAGUGGCAUCUGCCUUAAGAAUGAUGCCUUCUAUCUCCUUGAGAGUAAGGAGAUUGGUUGGGAAAGGAGAGAAGGCCAGAAAAGUGAUGCCUACUGUCUCCUCUUUGGAUGGUUGAGCUAGAGGCAGGAGGAGGUGCUCCUGUGUGAUGGGGUAAGUAAAUUCUCUGUCUUCUUUAAAGACAGGAUCCCAUGCAAAGAAGAUAAUUCUACACACAAAGACUAUUUCCCUGGCUUUUCCCCAUAUUCCCCAGCUCCGUUUGAUGAAGUCCUAAGUGUGUGUAACUGAAAUUCAAAUCAGAGAAGGAGUUGAACCACACUGAACCACAAACACAGUGUAGUGAAAUACAGUUGUGAUUCUGUCCUAAGGCGGCCAAAGGAAUCCUAGAUUGCCCCUAAAUACAUGCUAUUAUGGGCAAUAUGUCAAUACACAUGCAGAUAAAGGAUGUGACAGGAUCAGGAGCAGCAUUUCAUCCCCCUAGCCUCUCCUAUUUUUAGGAGAGUUCAAAGCCAGCACUCAGGGAGAUUAAUGGAUCAAACAGUCCCAUCAGCUGCUGUUCCUAAACAGUUGUGGGAUGAUGCAAGAUGGCGCAAAUGCUUCUAGAGCAUGGCUCAUGGCCCAAAUAGAGCUACCCAUCCACCUUAUCCACUGUAGUGACGUCUCCGUUGCCAGGCAUCUUAGGCAAAACAGGAGAGCAGGCUCUUCUGCCCGGUGUCCAGGACAAACCUUAUCCUGAGUGUAUUAUUCAAAUGCAGAAAUAAACCAGUGUGGUAUAUGGCAUUGUCAUGUGUGGUGUCUAGGACUUUCAGUUCUGCCCUCUCUUAUAAAAGAUACUCAUUUUUGGUCCAUAUAGAUAAGGGGAAACAGAUGAUUUUUCAUGUCACCCUUCCCAAAUUAUCAGUUCUCAAAAUCGAUUUAUAUUGCACAUUUCAGAAAUAUAAUUCAAGCACUUGGCUUCCUGGAUUUUGAGGGCAAUGAGUAAAAAUAAUAUACUGUAUCUGAAGGAGAAAGCUCUGAGGAUGCCUGCCAUAGAUGUGGGCGAAACGUCAGGAAAGAAUACUUCUGGAACAUGGCCAUACUGUCCAGAAAACAUACAACAACCCUGUGAUCCUGGCCAUGAAAGCCUUUGACAACACGUUCAAGAUAAAUGCAGCCAUGGGGCCAUAUCUCUCAACUGGAUAUUGUAGUCGAGAUUUCUGUUUAUUGUCGUUUUUAGUUCUAAAAGAUUUGCUACUUGAUCCCAGCUAUAUCUACCUGGAAGCAAUUCACAGUAUUUGCUGGGCUAUACAACAGAGGGCUGAUGUCUACAGUCAAUUGUGGUGCUGGCUUGAUUAAUUUUUUCCUUACAAUACAUCAAUUGUUCCUACAAAAGCUCUUAGUUGAUUGGAUCCAGAAACAAAAGCUCUCAGUUGAUUGGAUCCAGGAUAUCUGAAAGAGUGGAACAUUCCUGGAAUUGGAUAACUUUAGCUCUUUGCAUGACUAACCAACCUUGUAGGCUUUUUUAAAAAAAUCGUGUCAAAAGCGAUUUGCAAGUUCCUUCUGGUGUGAGAGAAUUGGUCAUCUACAGAUGACCAUCUAUGAAACAUUGGGAUUUGUAAUUUCACUGACAGAGAAAGGUACAUAUAUCACAAAGCUACAAAUCCCAGGAUUCCAUACAGCAUAGAGCAACUUGUAAAUUUUGUUGGAAGCAGUAAGCGGUAUAGUUAGCACAAAUGAAGUAAUGUCCUGAAUAGUGACUGUCUCAAAACCUUCCCUUAGAAAUGGAGGAGUGGGGGAAGUGGGGGGAGAUUUAUUUUGCAAGAGGAUGAUAUUCUGAGGUCUGUUCUAGAUUGACCUAAUGGAGGACAUCUUCUCAUGAUACAGCUCCAUGAAUUUUGCCAGUUGUGGGUGCCUCUGUGUCAACUCAUUGAAUGAGAAGGAAAAUGUAAUGGUCAUUGGACUUGAUUAAUCUUGCCAGCCUCUCUGUUGCAUCAUUAGACACAGCAUAUCCCUCAAAACCCCUUCUUAGGACUGUACAUCACUGAUUCUGUUCCUCUCAAGAAGAAAUCUCUCACCAUCACAAGUCCCUUCUUUCUCUGAUAACUGGAAGGAGCUUUUCCAUCCAGGGAAGUUUCCCAGGUCAUAUCCAUGCUUUUUGAGUAAUGGACUGCUCCUCAUCAUAGCUGGGUAAAGGUGGUGCUUGGAAGCAAUUGUCGACCUCCAAGCUUUUUUCAUAGUUUUGCUUCUGUGUGUUCCAUUUUCUCAAGUUUCUGCCUCCUGUGUUUGGGAAUUCUCCCUUUUCCUGGAGGCAUCCCUUAUGCCUUAGGACUUUUCUACACUGCCAGAUAAUCCAGAUUAUCAAAGCAGACAUUCUAGAUUUUAUAUGGAAGUCUAGGAGGGGCCUUAUGCAGCAACUAUAUAGACACAAUUGCAGCUAGCUCUGCCCACAACCAAGUCAGGGCUGUGAAAGACAAAGGGGACAUAUCAGCCUUCCAGGAAAACCUCAAGGGCUGAGCCUUUUGCAUCACCUCCUGCAAGAAAAAAAAUCAAUGUUUUUGCCACAAAAUGCUUCCGAGCACCCUCUAGGAAAUGGGAGAGCAUAUUUUAGGGCUUUCCCAGAGGGUAUUUUCAAGCAAAAAUAUUUGAAAUGUUUUGCAAAUUUGCACAUUGGCCUCUGUGCGGAAGGGGGGGUCCCAGGGGAACUUCAAACAGUGGAAAUUCUCUCAAUGUCCCCUAGAGAUCAUUGGCAGAAUUCUGGAGCAUUUUGUAACCCACUGCAAACCUGGAGAUUCCCCAAAAUAGCCCUGGGACCACAUGCAAUCUGUAAGUCACACUUUGCCCAUCACUGGCUUAGACAUAUUUUCAGGAAGACAUCAUGGUUCAGUAUACAUAACUAAACACAAAGAAAAGUAUCCAAAUAGCAUGGCCAAACAAUCAAUCUUGACCCCCAAAAUCAUAAGGUAGCCUUCUUCUUCUGGGUACAUUUUAAAAAGGAAAACUAUGUAACAAAUCUUGCAACCUGAAGAAUUUUAUGCCCCAGAAUAUUUAGUACCUUCUGGUAUUUCCUUUAGAAGAGAUUGGGCAGCUGAUAGCUGGGUAACAGGAAGAUGAGGUGGACAGGACCAUCAACAAAAUAAUCAUAGAAGCAUAAUAACCUCUAAUAGACAGUUGGAACCAGAGCUGCAGAGAAUUACUGGGCCCAGAAUAUAUUUAUGAGCAAGUAAAUUGUGCUGCAUUGGAAAGUGAACACUAGAUCCACGUGAGAGAAAACAGUUCCUGAAAUGGAACUUGUUACUUGUGUAUAAUUCGGAUAUGUGCUACGCUACCAUACUGAGCUAUAAAUACAAAGUAGUCAGCCAGAAAUGUCAGGACCUCAGAAGCUUAAACAAAGGGGGGGGGGGGAGUAUCAAAGGAUCAAAUCUUCAAUUUUACAAACAGACAUGUUAUUUCUAACCUUUUUUUUUUUUGUUAAGCGUGGUGGAACAGUGUCCAUAUAUAUCAUCACUUCUUCCAAAUAAAUUCUGCAUGGGUUCAAUGUGUAAUGUCACAAUACCAGUCAAAAAUUUAACUUAAUUCUCACACAUAUUUACUAUGAUCAUUGACCCCCCAAGAGAAUAUUGGGCUGGAGCUACACUGACCAGGAUCUAAUCCCAGAUUGUUUGCUUUGAACUGGAUUAUAUGAGUCUCCACUGCCAGAUAAUCUGGGAUAAGCAGAAAGUCUGGGAUCAGAUCCUGGGAUAUAGCGCAAUAUAGAUCCAGCCAAUAGUUAUGGCAGCUAUCCUGUGCCAAGCAUAAGUCUAACUGAUGCAAAUGUACUAGAUGUACUCAGUAGUUGCAAAAAAAUUCCGCAUAUUUUUUAAAGAACAUCCAUGCUCAAAAAGCAUUCUCAUCAGAUCCCGUAAAGCCUUGGGGAAACAUGGAAUUACAGAAUAUUAUGGGAAUAACAGCCUGGGCACAUACGCCAACCACACAAGAAAGCCUUCGACAACACAUACAAGAAUAGUCUGGAGUCUAUGGUCCAAAGGAAAGCAUAGAUGGUGUUGGUGAUGAUUGUUGUUGUUGUUGUUGUUGUUACAUAUUAUUAUUAUUAUUAUUAUUAUUAUCAUUAUCUUUAUUUAUACCUCACCUUUCUCCCCAUAGGAACACAGCCAUAUGACAGCAAUUCCUUAUCAAUGGCACUGGCUUCCAGGCCUCUUCCAAGCCUAAGUUGUAGUUAAACUUUUAAGCCAUUGGUGAUUCUGGGGCAGACGAUUUCCAUAAGCAUCAUCCUAUUGUACCCACUGGUCACCUUCAAAGAUGCCAUACCACAGGUAUUUAAGUUGGUGGCUGCAAGAUAAAGAGGGCCUUCUCAUCUGUGGUACCCCCGUUAUGGAUUGCCUCCCACAAAGAAACUUGUCUGUAACCAAUACUGUUAUAAUUUCAUCAUAAUGUGGAGAUACUUCCUUUGUAUCAGGCAUUUUCAAUUUGUAUUAUAACACAGAAUUGUUAGUUCACAUUCUUUAGGCCUUUUAAAUAUUUAUUGUAUUAUUUACUGCAGUCUUUAACCCACUUCCUUAUGUAACCUGCCUUCAUGGCCCUUUGUUAUUUGGUGGUAAUAUUCUUUGCAAAUAUAAAGUUUUUAAAACAGUACUAGCUGGAAAAUGUGGUCUUUGUGGACAGUAGAUUUUUAAAGUAAGAAUCACCAGCUCUACAAAAAUUCAGCAAAGUACUACUCAAAACAAAAUUCAAAACCCAGCAAUUCACCUUCCUUCCUACAACCCAAUCAAUGUUGCUCGACCAUUUCAGGAAUCUUUACUGAACUGUUUUUUUCCAUGGGCAUGUUCAUCACUUUUAAAAAAGCAGAGCAUAUAGCAUACUUUAUCACCAGUCUGGGAGCAAACAAAUACAUGUGUGCCAUCCCUUAAUCAGGAAUGCCUAUAAAUAAUUUAAUCACAAACUCCUUUGUCACACUAUUUUCAUUUUUUUAAGAGACUGAUAAUAUUUAAAGAGUUGGCAGAAGUAUAAGAGGUAAGCCUGGCGGUUUCUAAAUGUUGCUAUCAGGGCCAUUGCCAGAAAACAAAUUCGGAGUGGGGAGGGGGUUGAAAUUAUUUUUAGCAAAUCAUGAAGAGUAGUUCAAUAAUGCAAAAUAAUUUAGAAAUCAGACUCCAUCGAUAAACUUCAGUGGACACUCAAGACAAAUAAACUUCAGUGGACACUGAAGACAGAUAAACUUCAGUGGAUACUCAUGGGGAUUUAGUUAAUAAACUGAAGUUUAUCUGUCAGGUUUUUUUAAAACCUGAAAAUUUUCAGGGUGGGUUUGAACCCCUAUCCCCCCCCCCCCCCCCUUGGCUACAGCCCUGGUUGGUGUCAGAUAGAUGUUGCAUGUUCUGAAGCCCUGCAGAAACUUACAAACUUGAUAAUCAAAGGUGAAUCUAGGAUAAAAACAAGCACCACGGUACUAAGCUCUUUCUACACUGCCCUAUACCCCUGGAUCUGAUCCCUGAUGAUUUUCUUAUCCCAGAGUAUAAGGCAGUGGAGACUCAUAUAAUCCAGUGCAAAGCAGAUAAUCUGGGAUCAGAUCCUGGGAUACAGGGCAGUGAAGAUCCAGCUAUAGUUUCCAACCACUUCAAAUGUUCUGGGAUGGGGGACUUUUUAUUUUCUUUUUUACAAAAUAUGAACAGGCAGCACUAAAAGCUAACACAAAUUAUGACUCAGACAGGCAAGAAAAACAACAUUUCCAGGAUGCUCGACCAAGAGCAGACCUAGAAAAAAUACAUUUCUUGGAAGAGGGGGUGAAAUUUAGCAGCAAGUUAGGCUGCCACAGAUUUCUUUAUAACAGAAUUGCAUUCACCCUUCCUGUUUAAAAGAAAAACAAAUACCCCAUGUAGUAUUAACACAGACUUUUUACCACCUACAGGGCCAAUGAGAGAAAAAUAGAAAUUCACACUAAAACCCACUAAAACCCACCCGCUGCCUCAGUCAAAGAAAGUAUGUAUUUAUUCUAGCCUGCCAAGUUUGGAAACUAAGAUACUUCUUGCUUCUAUCUAUCAUAGAAUCUCAGCAAUCAUCCACCUAUUCCCAGUGGAACACAUACUGAGCUCUUACAGAAGUCAACACCAUUUCCUAAUCACAGACAAGACUCACAGAUGAAAACUGACGUAAAUGUUUCCAAGCAACAUCAGAAUGUGUUCAGGAUGGUAAAUGUUAUUAAUGGCAACACACAAGCUGAGAGGGGAUAUAGCAGUUCACUUUUGCCUUCGUCUGUAGGGAGGGAUAAGAUUCAGCAGUUUCCUUUUCUCUCCCUCCUGCUGAGUUCACAGAGUUUAUAUUACUUUUGCACUUUGAGCUCAUCUUGAAUUUAUAAGCUGAGUACAAAGGGAGAAAGGGGGGGGGAGAAAUGAGAAACUGGGACAUUUUAAAAUCAGAUCAAAAGGUGGGAUGACAGAGGAUUAAUGAAGUCUGGCCCUGCUAAAUUAGGCCAGUUGUUGAGUGUACAAAACCCAUUGGAGGUGAUUCUUUAAAGUUGGUUCAAGACAAGGCCCUGUGCCCCAAAAUGGUGACAAGUGCUGUGACAUAGGAGAUGCUCCUCAUUAUAUCUACACUGCCAUAUAAAAUUCAGAUUAUCUUCAUUGAACUAGAUUAUAUGGCAGUGUAGAUGCAUAUAAUCCAGUUCAAAGCAAAUAAUGUGGAUUAUCUGCUUUGAUAAUAUGUGAGUGUACAAGGGACCUAAGGCAUUCCAUUCAUAUCUUUAUCUCAUCCCAAGUAGCCAAUACAUAACUAUGACUGCUUCUCUUUCUGAGGACAUCCCAACUUCUGUCUAACCUAUUCACACUAGUGAAACCAUGCAGAAGAAGGUAAUAACUACAUCUACCAAAGGGCUGUCAUAUAGGUUUGGCAGAAGAAAUUGAUGUGGUCAGUUUGGCGGUAGAAAUUUCUCUUUGACAAAUCCAGGUGGAAGAUACAAGUAAAGUGGAACUUAAAACAAACCAAAAAUGUUAUGAAGGAAAUGCAAGAUCUUUUUGUGGUUGGUUAAAUUGGUGCUAGGGAGUUACUUUAUUUUGAAAGGGGUUCCCUUGCCAGAAAACGCAGAAUGCCAAAAACCACCUCAGUAAUCUAGCAAUCUGUAACCAUUGCAGUUUCCUAUGGUUGUACAUAUCUACCCAUAUGUACAUAUUUAGUUUAAAACAUUUACAGAAUUUGGAAGAAAUAUUUCUUGAAUACUGUUCCAAGAAUCUUCAAGCCCUAUUCAUGGUGGUUGGAGGGUUUUGGGAGAUGGAAACUAGAGAAAGAGAUUUCUCGUUCUGAAACAGGAUAAAAAAACCAGAAUCCAAACAGUAAAGUGGUUGAUUCAUUCUCACCAUCCAUUCACCACAUGCAACAUUUUGGCUUUGGGUUCUCAAAUUGCAUAAAUGGACUCUUUUCUUUGAGUCUCAGGCUGGAUCUGCACUGCCCUAUAUCCCAGGAUCUGAUCCCAGAUUAUGUGCUUUGAACAGGAUUAUAUAAGUCUACACUACAAGAUAAUCUGGGAUAAGAGAAUAAUCUGGAAUCAGAUCCU
Long non-coding RNA from Anolis carolinensis (green anole), 14924 nucleotides. RefSeq lists it as uncharacterized. The transcript has 3 exons. The record is from RefSeq and is a predicted model, not a curated record. Lineage: Eukaryota; Metazoa; Chordata; Lepidosauria; Squamata; Anolidae.